GGGAUUGUAGCUCAGAGGUAGAGCACUCACCUAGCAUGUGUGAGGCACUGGGUUUGAUCCUCAGCACCA
This 69-nucleotide transfer RNA is filed under the name Ictidomys tridecemlineatus (thirteen-lined ground squirrel). Its description in RNAcentral is "Spermophilus tridecemlineatus (thirteen-lined ground squirrel) tRNA". It matches the Rfam family "tRNA". Rfam says of the family: Transfer RNA (tRNA) molecules are approximately 80 nucleotides in length. Their secondary structure includes four short double-helical elements and three loops (D, anti-codon, and T loops). The record is from Rfam by way of RNAcentral. Lineage: Eukaryota; Metazoa; Chordata; Mammalia; Rodentia; Sciuridae.